RNAcentral lists this transfer RNA (121 nucleotides) under Microcaldota archaeon. RNAcentral describes it as "tRNA-Arg". It matches the Rfam family "tRNA". Rfam says of the family: Transfer RNA (tRNA) molecules are approximately 80 nucleotides in length. Their secondary structure includes four short double-helical elements and three loops (D, anti-codon, and T loops). The record is from RNAcentral. Lineage: Archaea; Nanobdellati; Microcaldota.
GGGCCCGUAGCUCAGCCUGGAUAGAGCGACUGGCUUCGAACCAGUAGGUUCGUGGGUUCGAAUCUGCAAACCGGCAAUCGUUUUGACUUGCCGCCUUGUAGCGUUAAUCCCACCGGGCCCG